This 2564-nucleotide unclassified non-coding RNA is filed under the name Leishmania donovani. RNAcentral describes it as "gene:LdHU3.10.0350(CDS-product:hypothetical_prote in_conserved)". Lineage: Eukaryota; Euglenozoa; Kinetoplastea; Trypanosomatida; Trypanosomatidae. The record is from RNAcentral.
AACUGCAGCGCACACACGCUCUGCUCCAUCAAGAGAGAAUGCAUGCAUGUGUGCGUGCGCAGCUCCGCUCGUGAGCACCUUCUACCUCUUUUCUUCUCUCUCGCCCCCCCCGUUUUUGAGCCAUGCUUCGCACAUCCUAUCUUCUCCGACCGACCCGGCGUGACGGCGCUGAUGGCGCUGCCGCAGCUGCUCCGACGGAGCACUUGAGCGACGUGUACUUGUGCGCGUCUUCACCCCCGGUGAUCGAGGAAUGGGUGGGGUGGCCUGACGCGCCAUGCGUGCUGGCUGGCAGCAUACGGUACUUCAUCGACACGCGCGGCGCACUGUCACCAUGCGCGCCUGCGGAGUCAUCGGCGUCGCGCGCCGGUGGCACGAAGGCGCUGUGCAUUGCUGAGGCGAAGCCAUCACCGAACCCCCCACCGGAGCUGCCCAGCGCCGUCCCCCUCGACGGGCUUUGCCGUGCGUACGAGGCAGCAGACGGGCGCAGCGGGAGCGCCUUCCUGCAGGUGUACUCUGUUGGAUCUCACGGUUUACUUUCUCCAGAGGCCAAGGCCGUGAUAACUGGGUGCGCCAUGGCGGCGCUGCGGUCGCGACUGUCGCACCUGCUGGGCCUCCUGCCGCACGAACGAUUAAACGAGGCCGGCUCCGCCUUGGGCAUGAGCGCCGUGGCAAUACUGAAUCGGUACUGCCGCGCGUCUGCUGCCCUUCCACCGCCGUCGCCGAGUUUGAUGCGGCCUCGAUGCGGCACCGACAAGGAUGGCGGUGGCAUGCGCGGUGGAGGCUGGGUGGUGACAUGGGCAUUGGAACUUGUUCUCUGUGUGGCCGCUUCGCUCAUCGCCGCUGGGCCGCCGCUGGCCACCGCGUGUCCGCCACUGUGCGUGAGCGACUGCGGGGAAGUCAUAAUGGCCUCGUUGCACUUUGGCCUCGGUGUACGGCUGCAGCGCGACGCUGUUGCCCACCACGACGAGAGAACGGCCGCAUCUUCCAUACCACUCACAUCAGCUGCCGAGAGGCGCCCGCGCUACGCUGCCCUGUCCGUACAGCUCACAGAGUGCACACCAGCAUCCUCGCACCCGCUGGAUGUCCGCCGCGCUGUCGAUGUCACGAGAGUUAUCUACGUGGACCAUAUUCGCUCUGCGCAAGCGUACGCUGAGGAUGGCACGGACGCAUUCCAGCGACUUGCGCGGUGUGCAGGUCGAGUCAGCGAUCCGCUGUCACUGGCAACGGCACGAGAUGCCUGGGCAGAGGCACUGCAGUCUUAUCAAGCCAGCGCCACCGCUUCGCAAGGGGGCGUGCUGUUUGUGCUGACGCACGACCUGUCAGCGCAGUCUGGGCCGGCCGCCCUUCUCCCCUUGAUGGUGCGCGAGGAGCGAAGUCGUUCUCACGCCGCCGAGAUGUCGCACGACGUGGUCUUUCCGCCGGCUCUACGCGACCACGUCCUCGCCUCCGUCCGUGUGCGGAGCGCGCCAGCGUACUUCAACCACAUUCUUCUGUGCCAAGCGUGGUCUUCGGAUGACGUGGUUACUGAGGCCUACGCACGCCACUGGGCAGACAAGCUUGCGUACGAUAGCGCUCUGGCGCCUGCUCGCGUUGCCGUGCAGUGGAGGGCGUCUCUGCUCGUGCCAAGUGCAAAGGAAGGUGCGGCCGUUACCUCGGGUGCAGGUGAGGGCCAGACACUGGCGCCUACCCCGCUGCAGUGGGUUCUGUACACUGCUCGCCGUCAGCUCGUCGUUGCCGUUGCUAAUCGGUCGCAAGCCGUGCUAACAGGACGGCGACUGGGGCUCGACCGUGCGGCUGCACCGGCGACUACCGAGGUUGCUCCGUUUUCGCCGUCUGCGCUCCGUGCAUUGGCGGAGCAGUGCGUCAAGGCGCUGCCCGUCGCACGUGGACUGCUGGGCUGGCACUGUCCGUGGCCUGUGCCAUCGUGCUUGCAGAGCACUGGCACCCGCAUCGCAAUUCCGUCCGCCGCUGCAGUUGAAGAGGUGUUGUGGGCGCUGCGCAUGUUGGGCAAACUGCGAUGGAGAGCGGCACAGCUGUACGAGGCGGCUGGCGACUCGGCCGAGCAGCAUCAGCAGCUGCGCGCGUUGCGAGCCGAUGUGCAGCGCUGGUCGUCGCGUCGCCGUGCGCGAGCGCUGGCGGCUGAUGGCGCUACCCUAGCGUCUGAAGCGGUUGCGUGGACGCCCACGGUGGAAGAUGUUGUAUGCCACGUAGACGACGGCGACUGGGGCGCGCUGACCAAGGAGCUAUCGAGCAUGCUGCCCCCAGCGUAACGGCGGUGGCGUCUCCCUUAACCUCUCUGUCGGCCUCUAUGCAUGUGCGCAGCUGAGUCCGCAGUCGCAUCGCCCCUCCCUCACCACGAAACGAGAACAGCACUGAGGACCCCUCCGUCCUGCCAAGCCCGCCCUCAUCGUGCCCUCAUCGGUCGUGUCAAAUGGAGGUAGCGCGCACGUCGCGUGCCUUUGCUCCCCUUCGCGUUUCGGAUUGUGAACGCGCGCCAGCGUGGUGGCAGCCUUGUGCAUGCGUGCCACGUGCUGCUGCUGCUGUCGGCACACGCCCGCCCACCC